RNAcentral lists this ribosomal RNA (274 nucleotides) under uncultured bacterium. RNAcentral's name for it is "partial 16S ribosomal RNA". It matches the Rfam family "Bacterial small subunit ribosomal RNA", at positions 523 to 796 of the family's 1533-position model. The record is from RNAcentral.
AUACGGAGGGCGCAAGCGUUGUUCGGAAUUACUGGGCGUAAAGCGCGCGUAGGCGGUCUGUUAUGUCAGAUGUGAAAGUCCUCGGCUCAACCGGGGAAGUGCAUUUGAAACUGGCAGACUUGAGUACUGGAGGGGGUGGUGGAAUUCCCGGUGUAGAGGUGAAAUUCGUAGAUAUCGGGAGGAAUACCGGUGGCGAAGGCGACCACCUGGCCAGAUACUGACGCUGAGGUGCGAAAGCGUGGGGAGCAAACAGGAUUAGAAACCCCAGUAGUCC